This 452-nucleotide ribosomal RNA is filed under the name uncultured bacterium. Its description in RNAcentral is "bacterial SSU rRNA". It matches the Rfam family "Bacterial small subunit ribosomal RNA", at positions 329 to 795 of the family's 1533-position model. The record is from RNAcentral.
UACCAGACUCCUACGGGAGGCAGCAGUGGGGAAUAUUGCACAAUGGGGGGAACCCUGAUGCAGCAAUGCCGCGUGAAGGAUGAAGGUUUUCGGAUUGUAAACUUCUUUUGUACGGGACGAAGAAAGUGACGGUACCGUAAGAAUAAGCCACGGCUAACUACGUGCCAGCAGCCGCGGUAAUACGUAGGUGGCAAGCGUUGUCCGGAUUUACUGGGUGUAAAGGGCGUGCAGCCGGGAAGACAAGUCAGAUGUGAAAUCCCGCGGCUCAACCGCGGAACUGCAUUUGAAACUGUUUUUCUUGAGUAUCGGAGAGGUAAUCGGAAUUCCUAGUGUAGCGGUGAAAUGCGUAGAUAUUAGGAAGAACACCAGUGGCGAAGGCGGAUUACUGGACGACAACUGACGGUGAGGCGCGAAAGCGUGGGGAGCAAACAGGAUCAGAUACCCCAGUACUC